Molecule: ribosomal RNA, 488 nt
Filed under: uncultured bacterium
Lineage: Bacteria
Description: partial 16S ribosomal RNA
Rfam family: Bacterial small subunit ribosomal RNA
Source: RNAcentral
GACGAACGCUGGCGGCGUGCUUAACACAUGCAAGUCGAACGGAAAGGCCCUGCUUUUGUGGGGUGCUCGAGUGGCGAACGGGUGAGUAACACGUGAGUAACCUGCCCUUGACUUUGGGAUAACUUCAGGAAACUGGGGCUAAUACCGGAUAGGAGCUCCUGCUGCAUGGUGGGGGUUGGAAAGUUUCGGCGGUUGGGGAUGGACUCGCGGCUUAUCAGCUUGUUGGUGGGGUAGUGGCUUACCAAGGCGAUGACGGGUAGCCGGCCUGAGAGGGUGACCGGCGACACUGGAACUGAGACGCGGUCCAGAGUCCUAAGGGAGGGAGCAGUGGGGAAUAUUGGACAAUGGGCGGAAGGCUGAUACAGCGAUAGCGCGUGGGUGAAGAAGGCCUUCGGGUUGGAAAGCCCGUUUGUUGGGAAAGAAAAGCAGCAGGUUAAUACCCCGCUGUUCUGACGGUAACCAAAGAAUAAGCACCGGCUAACUUCGUG